ACUGCCUGAUGGAGGGGGAUAACUACUGGAAACGGUAGCUAAUACCGCAUAACGUCGCAAGACCAAAGAGGGGGACCUUCGGGCCUCUUGCCAUCAGAUGUGCCCAGAUGGGAUUAGCUAGUAGGUGGGGUAACGGCUCACUUAGGCGACGAUCCCUAGCUGGUCUGAGAGGAUGACCAGCCACACUGGAACUGAGACACGGUCCAGACUCNUACGGGAGGCAGCAGUGGGGAAUAUUGCACAAUGGGCGCAAGCCUGAUGCAGCCAUGCCGCGUGUAUGAAGAAGGCCUUCGGGUUGUAAAGUACUUUCAGCGGGGAGGAAGGGAGUAAAGUUAAUACCUUUGCUCAUUGACGUUACCCGCAGAAGAAGCACCGGCUAACUCCGUGCCAGCAGCCGCGGUAAUACGGAGGGUGCAAGCGUUAAUCGGAAUUACUGGGCGUAAAGCGCACGCAGGCGGUUUGUUAAGUCAGAUGUGAAAUCCCCGGGCUCAACCUGGGAACUGCAUCUGAUACUGGCAAGCUUGAGUCUCGUAGAGGGGGGUAGAAUUCCAGGUGUAGCGGUGAGAUGCGUAGAGAUCUGGAG
Molecule: ribosomal RNA, 583 nt
Filed under: uncultured Pseudomonadota bacterium
Lineage: Bacteria; Pseudomonadati; Pseudomonadota
Description: bacterial SSU rRNA
Rfam family: Bacterial small subunit ribosomal RNA
Source: RNAcentral